GGGGGUAUAGCUCAGUGGUAGAGCAAUUGACUGCAGAUCAUUAGGUCCCUGGUUCAAAUCCGGGUGCCCCCU
Molecule: non-coding RNA, 72 nt
Organism: Salmo salar (Atlantic salmon)
Lineage: Eukaryota; Metazoa; Chordata; Actinopteri; Salmoniformes; Salmonidae
Source: Rfam